AAUCAACGCUGGCGGCGUGCCUAACACAUGCAAGUCGAACGCGAAAGUGGAGCAAUCCAUGAGUAGAGUGGCAAACGGGUGAGUAACGCGUGGGCGACCUACCUCAGAGUGGGGGAUAACCUUCCGAAAGGAGGGCUAAUACCGCAUGACAUACCGUGUUUGGAUACACGGAUAUCAAAGCCGGGGAUCGCAAGACCUGGCGCUUGGAGAGGGGCCCGCGUCCGAUUAGCUAGUUGGUGAGGUAACGGCUCACCAAGGCUCCGAUCGGUAUCCGGCCUGAGAGGGCGGACGGACACACUGGAACUGAGACACGGUCCAGACUCCUACGGGAGGCAGCAGUGGGGAAUUGUUCGCAAUGGGCGCAAGCCUGACGACGCAACGCCGCGUGGAGGAUGAAGACUUUCGGGUCGUAAACUCCUUUCGACCGAGAUGAAUUUCCCACGACCUAACACGUCGUGGGAGUGACAGUAUCGAGGGAAGAAGCCCCGGCUAACUCCGUGCCAGCAGCCGCGGUAAUACGGGGGGGGCAAGCGUUGUUCGGAAUUACUGGGCGUAAAGGGUUUGUAGGUGGCUUGCUAAGUCAGACGUGAAAUCCCUCAGCUUAACUGGGGAACUGCGUCUGAUACUGGCGAGCUUGAGUGCAGGAGAGGAACGCGGAAUUCCAGGUGUAGCGGUGAAAUGCGUAGAUAUCUGGAGGAACACCGGUGGCGAAGGCGGCGUUCUGGACUGUAACUGACACUGAGAAACGAAAGCCAGGGUAGCAAACGGGAUUAGAUACCCCGGUAGUCCUGGCCCUAAACGAUGAAUGCUUGGUGUGGCGGGUAUCGAUCCCUGCCGUGCCGAAGUUAACGCGAUAAGCAUUCCGCCUGGGGGAGUACGGUCGCAAGGCUG
This 891-nucleotide ribosomal RNA is filed under the name uncultured bacterium. RNAcentral's name for it is "bacterial SSU rRNA". It matches the Rfam family "Bacterial small subunit ribosomal RNA", at positions 28 to 896 of the family's 1533-position model. The record is from RNAcentral.